AAAUCCAGUAAGACCCCUUAAAGACUAUGAGGUAGAUAGGGCAGAGGUGGAAGUGCAGUAAUGCAUGGAGCUGACUGUCACUAAUAGGUCGAGGGCUUAACCAAG
This 105-nucleotide ribosomal RNA is filed under the name Jutongia hominis. Its description in RNAcentral is "partial 23S ribosomal RNA". It matches the Rfam family "Bacterial large subunit ribosomal RNA", at positions 2821 to 2925 of the family's 2925-position model. The record is from RNAcentral. Lineage: Bacteria; Bacillati; Bacillota; Clostridia; Lachnospirales; Lachnospiraceae.